RNAcentral lists this transfer RNA (86 nucleotides) under Nitrososphaerota archaeon. RNAcentral's name for it is "tRNA-Ser". It matches the Rfam family "tRNA". From Rfam's summary of the family: Transfer RNA (tRNA) molecules are approximately 80 nucleotides in length. Their secondary structure includes four short double-helical elements and three loops (D, anti-codon, and T loops). Further hydrogen bonds mediate the characteristic L-shaped molecular structure. tRNAs have two regions of fundamental functional importance: the anti-codon, which is responsible for specific mRNA codon recognition, and the 3' end, to which the tRNAs corresponding amino acid is attached (by aminoacyl-tRNA synthetases). tRNAs cope with the degeneracy of the genetic code in two manners: having more than one tRNA (with a specific anti-codon) for a particular amino acid; and 'wobble' base-pairing, i.e. permitting non-standard base-pairing at the 3rd anti-codon position. RNAcentral also lists the same sequence under 2 other names. The record is from RNAcentral. Lineage: Archaea; Thermoproteati; Nitrososphaerota.
GCCGGGGUCCCAUAACCAGGUAGUGGGGCGGCCUCGAGAGCCGCUGCCCCGCAAGGGGCGUGUGGGUUCAAAUCCCACCCCCGGCG